Molecule: non-coding RNA, 898 nt
Organism: Camellia sinensis
Lineage: Eukaryota; Viridiplantae; Streptophyta; Magnoliopsida; Ericales; Theaceae
Source: RefSeq, a predicted model, not a curated record
CCUCCUCCUUGCCCACGUCUCCCCACCCUUCUAUCUUUAUCUCACUGAUCUCCAGCCAAAUCACGUCUCCCCUCCAUCCCUCUCUCUCUCUCUCUCUCUCUCCCUGUUCUUCUUCUUCCCGAAACUGCUCUCCUUCAACCACAGAUUCGGUUUCGUCUCCAUCCCUAUAUUCGGUUCCGUCUAGCUGUGCUUCAACCGCUCAGAUUUCUGAGGUUACGAUUUCAGAGGUUGCGAUUUCAUCGCUCAGAUUUUCUGAUUAUCUGAAAAUCACCAAGUCGACCAUUUUUUUUUGUGGGUUUGGUUGUAAAGUUGCAAUUCAUAAAGAUUUGUUUAGCCAACCCAAAUUACACAGGAUACUAUGUUAAAUAGGGUUUUGGACAAAUAACAAGAGAGCUCAUAUAUUUCUUAGUCUGUCUGUUAUUGGUACAAUUGACGUGGUGUGGACCUUGCCCUCUAUUUCUUUCCAUAAUGACAUCUUAUUCUGAAGGUUGAAGAAACCAUCAGCGGUAAAAAUCAGUACAUGUGUGCAUGUAGGUGAGUAUUUUAAUGAAGCAACUAUGCUGUUAAAUAACCAGCAUGACUCUGUGUGCUGCAAUUGCUAAUCAAAGAACAAACAAAUUGUUUUCUCACUUUUGAUAAUGCCUUCCAGCCCUAAAUCUGGAUAUUACAACAUCUCACAGUCAGCUUCCACCAGAAAAUAAAGAAUCCAUAAUUUAAUAAAAUUACAGUCAAUUAAUAUAACAAUAUCUUAUAUAUUGCUGCACCUCAAGUUUUGGCCUGGGUUUGAAAGGAGAAUAUAGCAUGCAUAGCAGUGAGAAAAUGACUGCUUUAGUAUGUGUUACAACUUAAUAAUGGGAGUCAAAUUCAUUGUUCAAAACAAGAAUAAUAGCAUAUUUCA